UUAGCUGCGGGCGUCUGAACAAGUCUGAACUACAAUACAUUCAGAGAAGCAAACAGUACAACCAAAGAGAUAUGCCUCUAUUCCUCUGCUCAUAGUCUAUGAGAGGAUUUCUGAAGGCUGGACCGCUGAGAGGGGGAAGACUGGAGAUGCUCGCGCUAGAGCAAUUUGACAAAUGCGAAAUUUAAAUAAAUAAAAAAUAUAUAGUUUUUAUUUUAUUUUAUUUUUUUAAGUCAUUCUCUGAAGAAGAAAAAUAAAUCUGGACUAUUGAAGGCAAUGUGUUAUAUCAUGUUUCACUAGAACUGCGUCAUUGGCUGCUUCACCUCGGUCUGUUGGUGACCCGUGUUGUGAGCUAUUCUAAAUUACCUGUUCAGGCCGAAGGGGCUGACCAUGACCUCAAUUGAACUCGUGUGAUUCGUCACUUUGGAUAUCUCACACUCAAAUAGGCAAGGCCCCAGUGUCUAGCAUCUGAAAAUGGGGUGCUUGCACCAAUGGACUCUGCUAGUUGCUGUAUUGCUGUAUCUACCAUCACAGUCUACGGCUCAAGGCCAGUGCAAUAAUGUUGGUGCUGCAGAUAUUGUGUUCCUGGUGGAUGGAUCAUCCAGCAUUGGCCGGGCAAAUUUUUUGCUGGUGAAGAGUUUCAUGGCAGGUAUUGUCAAACCAUUCGCCAGGGCAGUAGGACCCAAUGGCAUCCGCUUUGGAGCUGUACAGUACAGUGAUACUGCCAGGGUGGAAUUUACCUUCACUACAUAUCUGAAUGGCACUGAGCUUAUAACUGCCAUAGAGAAUAUCAACUAUAAAGGUGGAAACACACGCACUGGGGCUGGCCUCAAAUACAUUGCAGAAAACUUCUUCAGCCCUGUCUCUAUCAGAGACGUACCCAAGAUCACUAUUCUCAUUACUGAUGGUAAAUCUCAAGACUAUGUGCAGGAACCCUCUCAAAAACUACGUAAUCUAGGAGUCAAAAUGUUUGCAGUGGGUAUAAAGAGUGCAGAUGCAAAUGAGCUAAAUCUUAUUGCUUCUCCUCCACAAAGUGAAUUCAUCUCACAGAUUGGGAACUUUAAAGCUCUCAGUUCUUUGCUGCCCCUAGUGUCUCCACGCAUCUGUACAACAAGUGGAGGCUCUUACUCCAGUGAUGAAGCUUUCAGUGGUCCAUCAGAUUUGCUGUUUUCAAGUGAGACCACUGAUUCGCUGAGAUUUCGAUGGACGUCUGCAGGAGGGCCUGUGAGUGGCUACGUGGUUCAGUACAGGCCCCUAACUGGCUUGGGUCAACCAAUCACAGCAGAGCUCCGACAGGAAACGAUACCGAGCAGCCAGCAGAGCUAUGUUGCACGAGAACUGCGUUCAGGCACAGACUACCUGAUCACUGUGAUCGCUCAGUACCCCAAUAGCUUGGGAGAGUCCAUUUCAGCCAAGGCCAGAACAAAGCCUCUCCCAGGUGUGACUGCACUGCAGCUGGUUCAGGCUGGGUUCUUUACUCUUGCAUUGGCCUGGAAUGCUCCAGCUGGCCAAGUACAGGGCUACAGAAUUACCUAUGGACCUACAGGUCAGCCAGAUGCGCAGUUGGUGGAGCAGUCUGUGGGGGCGGAGUCUACUUCUCUGACUUUGCAGAGUCUUAAGGCAGACACAGAAUAUAUCAUCAACCUGUACCCUCUAUUUUCCCGCAACAGUGCCUCACCAGCUACUCUGACUGCACGCACACUGCGUUUAGAGGGAGUGCAGCAGCUCUCUGUUGAGACCAUUUCCAGCAACAGUGUUCAAGUCCGCUGGACAGGAGUGACAGGGGCCAGAGGAUAUAGAGUCGUCUGGGGCCCUUUAACAGGAAGUGAUGUGGAAACCGUAGAGCUGAGAGGUGAUAGUGAAUCUCACACACUGGUGAAUCUGCAACCAGACACCGAGUACAUUGUUACAGUCAUCUCCUUGUACAAUGGUGAAGCUGAAGGACCUGCGGCCACUACACGCUUUAAGAUAGAGCGCUCAGAGCAACAGGUCCUGAGAGCCACGACAACAGGACCCACCAGCAUCAGAUUAAGCUGGAACCUUAUACAGGCUGCCAGGGGUUAUAGGCUGGAGUGGAAAGCUGGAGAGAGGGGCAGAGUUCUGAGGCAGGAUCUACCACAGAGCACCACCAACUAUGAGCUGAGAAGUCUGCAGCCAAGCACUGAGUACAUCAUAACUCUAUUUACACUCUACGAUGGGCGAGAGGAGGCUACAUUCUUUUCAACCAAAUCAACAGUAGAGCAGCCAGUUGGUCGUGUCACAAACCUGAGGGUGCUGGAGACACUUGGCAACAUUAUACGAUUGGGAUGGACAGGAGUCGCUGGGGCAACAGAAUACAGCAUUGCCAUACUUAAUACACAAUCAAAUAGAGAGCUGAGCAGAAGAGUUCCUGGAAAUCAGACCACCCUGGACCUACGGGACCUUGAAGAUGGUGGACGCUACGCUGUCAGUGUGACUGCACUGGUUGGGUCCAAUAAAGGAGAUCCGGACACUGUGUACUUUACAGCAGGUCAACCACUGAGGGUGACCAACUUCCGGCUAGUCAGCAGCAACAACGGACGAAUCAGGAUUGCAUGGACUGGCAUUUCUGGGGCGACAGGUUACCGGGUUACCUGGAGACAAGGAAGCAGUGCAGAGCGAUUCCGUGUCCUAGGUGGCGAUAUCAAUACUUACACUAUAGGCGGGCUGCAGCCAGAUGAACCUGUAGUUGUGGGCGUUGCCCCAGUGAUUGAUGGGCAGAUUGGGGAAGUCGUCACUAUUUCUUCUAGAACCAGUGGCCCCAAUGGAACAAUUACAGGGUUGCGUGUGAAUGAAGUUUCAUCCACAAGGAUACUAAUAUCCUGGGCUGCUGUGAAUAGAGCAACAGGCUACAAAAUCACCUGGCGGCGUAGUGACGGAGUGGAAGACUCUGAGAACGUAGCUGCUGAUGUGACUUCCUAUGCCAUUGAUAGACUCCAAGAAGGUGCCACAUACCAAGUAUUAGUCUCAGCCCUUUUUAACUCAAGGGAAGGACCUGCUGCCACUGUGACUGCAAAGACAGGGAGAGUGAUACAGAAAGACACUGUAGAGGGCUUGCGUGUGUUGGAUUCGACCCCAGGGAGGCUGAGAAUAACAUGGAGAACAGUGAGGGGAGCCAGUGCAUAUCGAAUCUAUUGGAGGUCCUCACAAGGAGAGACUGAAUCAAGUCGUCUCAUUAGUGGGGAUGCAACCUCAUAUACGCUUGAUGGACUUCGCCCUGGUUUGAGCUACACUGUAAGAUUAUCUGCUGUGGUGGAACGUGGAGAGACUGAAGCUGCCACCAUCCAGGCAUCCACUGAUGCCCUGCCACCUGUGACAGGUUUGCGUGUGACUGACAGUACGGAGAAUUCAGUGCUUUUGGGCUGGUCACCAUUAACAGGAGCCACAGGCUAUUUAUUACGUUGGAGAGAGGAGAGAGACACAGGAUCUGGUCAGUCUGAGACGCUGCCCGGUACAGCCAGAUCUUUCCGUGUGAUGGGUCUGCGGCUGGGCCGUCGGUACCGCUUCACUGUGCAGCCCAACUUUCAGAACCAGGUCGGACCUGAGAGCAGUGUGGAGGAGCGCACAGUGUGUGUUGGAGGGCGUUUGGAUGUGGUCUUUCUUGUCCCUGCCUCUCGUGACCGCUCUGGCCUGGCAGCACCUGUGUUGUCUCUGUUGGCCAGUGCUGCUGGAUCCUUCACCUCUAUCGGACCCAGAGACUCUCAGAUGGGGGUGGUGGUGUACAGUGAAGAUCCAAAAGUGGGCUUCCUCCUCAAUCGUCAUAGCAACAGCGAGACCCUUCUGCAGGAAAUUCAGUCCACCCCUUUCAAUGACAGAUCAGGAAAUAAUAUAGGCCGGGCAAUGACGUUUGCUAGGCAGUUUCUGCUGAGCGCAUCUGCAGGUCGAAGGUCAGGUGUUCCUGGUGUGGUUGUCAUUAUCGCUGAUGAGAAAUCAGCUGAUGAUGUCAGCCAGCCUGCUGCUGCUGUUAGGGCUGAUGGUGUGACAGUGUUGGCGGUAGGAAUUGGACGUGGAGACCCUGGAGAACUGCGUUUGGCAGUGACUGAUGGCAGCACCCAGAAUCUGCUCUACGCUCAAGACACAAAUCAGCUCUAUAGUCUCCACCCUGACUUGGCAGAUCUCAUCUGUGGCCUUGCACGAGGGACCGUUGUCACGACGGGGCCUUGUACGGUUGAAUGUCCCAGGGGUGCUAAAGGGGAACAGGGACAGAAGGGUGAGAGGGGCAGAGAUGGAGUGGAUGGAAGGAAAGGCGAGCCUGGUCGUGAUGGUCUACCUGGUCGUGGAGGCACCAGAGGGCCGGAGGGGCCACCAGGUCAACCUGGUAGCAGUCUAGGAGUGAGAGGAGAGAAAGGCGAGAGGGGUUUCCCAGGUCUGGAUGGCAGUUCAGGUGUUCCAGGUCGCCCUGGUACACCUGGCGCAGUUGGACUUCCAGGAAGUCAGGGAUUACCAGGUGUUAGAGGAGACCCUGGAGAACCAGGUAUUGCAGGCCCUCAGGGGUUGAAGGGAGAGAAAGGUGAAAGGGGAGAACCUGGAUCUGCUGUGGGAGGAGGGUUACCAGGUCGUAAAGGAGAGCCAGGAAUCCCAGGGUUCCCUGGCACUCCCGGACGCCUGGGUGUGGAUGGGGCAAAAGGAGAGGCAGGUGCACGCGGUCUGCCCGGGCAGGAUGGUCGCCCUGGGUUACCAGGGACUCCUGGACUUUCUAUUAAGGGUGAGAAAGGCAGCCCUGGAGAGAGGGGUCCUCCUGGAGUGGGCAGCGGGGUGGCAGCUAAGGGAGAUGCUGGUGAACCUGGAAGCCCUGGACCGCCUGGUCCGCAGGGCCCACGAGGACUGACUGGACCAAAAGGAACCAAAGGAGAACUAGGAGAAAGUUCUGAGGGUAAACCAGGACUCCCAGGAAAGACUGGAGACCCUGGUGAUCGGGGUCCCCGGGGACCUCCUGGUGAAAUCGGGAGUAAGGGUGACCGAGGACAGGCUGGAGCAACUGGAGCAGAUGGAGCCAAGGGAGAUAGAGGCCCAGCUGGUCCAACAGGAGACAAGGGUGAUAAGGGUUCACCAGGCCCCCCUGGACUUCAAGGACUCAGGGGUUUGCCAGGCAGCAACGGUCUUCCUGGAGAGAAGGGUGCUGAGGGUGCAAAAGGGGAACCAGGAGCCGGUGGUCCAGGUUCGUUAGGGAAGAAAGGAGAGCAGGGUGUAAGGGGCUUUCUAGGUCCUGAUGGUCCUAAAGGUGAUAAAGGAGAAUCAGGUCCAAAAGGGGAAAAGGGUACACCUGGAGCAGGAGAACCUGGCCAACCUGGAACUAAAGGAGACCAGGGGAAUCGGGGUCUGCCUGGAUUAUCUGGAAAACCUGGUGCAAAGGGCAGUCAAGGUGACACAGGAGAGAGAGGGGAAGCGGGCAGUCCUGGUUCACAAGGGCCCAUGGGGCCCAGAGGGAAAGAUGGACUGAAAGGAGACAAAGGAGAGGAUGGCAUUCCAGGAGAGCCAGGGUUGUCUGGUAAAUCAGGGGAGAGAGGUCUAAGAGGACUGCCAGGUCAAGCAGGUCAGCCUGGGCCAAAAGGAGACACAGGUGAUCCAGGGGAAGAUGGACGAAAUGGCAUCCCAGGGGCCACUGGAUCAAGAGGACCAAAGGGAGAGCAGGGAAUACAAGGUCCCCCUGGGCCGCCUGGAGAUGUGGUAACAGGAGAGAAACAACUGAAAGGUGACAGAGGAGAAAAGGGAGAGGCAGGUGACCCAGGGGAGCAUGGGGCUAAAGGUCAGAAGGGUGAACCAGGAGCAUCAGGCCCUGCAGGACCAAGCGGCCCUGAGGGACAACGUGGACUACCAGGAGGCAGAGGUGUCCCAGGAGAUAGGGGCAGUCCAGGAGACAAGGGAGACAGAGGAGCUGCUGGUUUGGAUGGACGACCUGGUCAGGAUGGAAAACCUGGGCUGCCUGGAGCUCCUGGUUUACGGGGUGAUCCAGGAAAACAAGGGGAAUCUGGUAGAGAUGGUUUGGGUGGACUCAGAGGGCCUCAAGGGCCUCCAGGACCCCCAGGGCCCCUAGGACCUGAAGGAAAACCAGGUAAAGCAGGGGAGGAUGGGAAGCCAGGACUGCCUGGAAAAUCUGGUGAAGAUGGUGUGCCAGGGGAGGAUGGUCGAAAGGGAGAUAAAGGAGAGCCUGGGCCUUCCGGAAGAGAUGGUCGAGAUGGGAUAAAAGGCGAUCAAGGCAUUGCAGGACUGAUUGGCCCUACUGGCCCCAUUGGACCCCCUGGGGUUUCCGGCAGCAUUGGACCACCAGGACCAGUAGUAUAUGUUAAAGGGGAGCCAGCAACACCUAUUCCAGGCCCCCAAGGCCCUCCAGGAACCCCUGGAGUACCUGGAGUUCCAGGAACUGCUGGAACUAGAGGGGAAAGAGGUCUACAGGGCUUGAAAGGAGAAGCAGGAGAUCCAGGGGAGGAUGGAAAACCAGGAACUGCAGUGGAUGUGAAGAGAGCUUUUUCAGAAUUUGGCAUUGAGAUCAGAGAACUGAAACUAUUGGUUGAUGAAAAAAACAAAAUAAUAUCACAGUUCGAUGCACUUGACGAGGGAAAAAAAGGGGAUAAAGGAGAUGUUGGACCUAGAGGCCCUCCAGGAGCAGAUGGUGCACGAGGUCUGCCAGGUGAGCGAGGUGUAAAAGGAGAGCAAGGUGAAAAAGGGCCUCCCGGCUUACAGGGUCCCCCAGGCAGGGCUAUUGGAGAGAGGGGUCCAGAGGGUCCACGAGGACAGGCAGGUGAGCCUGGAAAACCAGGAAUACCAGGAGUGCCAGGACGAGCCGGUGAACUUGGAGAAGCUGGCAGACCUGGAGACAAGGGAGACAAAGGGGAGAAAGGGGACGGAGGUUCAGCUGGUCCGGCUGGAUUGCCCGGCCUUGUGGGGCCUCCAGGACCAAAGGGGGAUUCUGCCAUAACUCAGAGUGGUUUGCCUGGUCUUAGGGGCCUACCAGGCCCACAGGGUAUCAGAGGAGAGCCUGGUGCUGUAGGACCCCCUGGAUCUCCUGGAGAACGGGGCUAUGGAGGUGCACGAGGGGAGAAAGGAGACAAAGGAGCCAGUGGAGAGAGCGGAAAAGAUGGCUCCCCAGGAAAUCCAGGAGAGCCAGGAAAACCAGGGCAGGAUGGGAAGCCGGGUUUGAGGGGACCAGCCGGUCCAUCAGGCCUACCUGGAAAUCCAGGAGAACCAGGAAUUAGAGGACCAACUGGUCCGAUGGGUGGAAAUGGACCCCCAGGGGCUCCUGGUGUGAAGGGUGACCAAGGAGAGCCAGGCAUUGGAGUUCAAGGCCCUCCUGGACCUCAGGGCAACAGAGGGUUACCUGGACCACCUGGCACUCCAGGAGCCAUAGGACCACAAGGACCACCAGGGCUUCCCGGACAAGUGGGAGAGGGGGGCAAGCCUGGGGUCACAGGGAGAGAUGGAGCUCCAGGGAAAGAUGGCCUGCCAGGAUUACCUGGGAAACAGGGUAUUGCUGGACCCAUUGGCUCCCCGGGACUUAAAGGAGAGCAAGGAGACAGCGGGCCACCAGGAAAAUCUGUCAUCGGACCCCCUGGAAUUAAGGGUGAGAUGGGGCCUCCUGGUCUGACAUUGCCUGGUACUGUUGGAGAAAGAGGGCUUCCUGGAUUAUCAGGCCCCAAAGGAGACAAGGGGCCAGCAGGUAUCAAAGGAGACAGAGGGGCUACAGGUGAUCCUGGAGAGCCAGGGGACAAUGGAGAGAGAGGACCACCAGGGCCCAAAGGCGUUAAAGGAGAGGCUGGUGUAGGGAUGGCUGGACCUGCAGGACAAUCUGGACCCAUCGGUUUAAAGGGUGACCCUGGCUUACCAGGUCCUCCGGGUCCUCCAGGGCCACGUGGUUUGGAUGGGACCCCAGGACUGGCAGGACAGAGAGGAGAAGUAGGUCAGCCAGGACCCCCUGGACCACCAGGAGAACGGGGUAUCCAAGGUUAUACUGGCAAAGCAGGCAACCCUGGAACACCAGGAUCUGUUGGACCACCAGGACCCCCUGGAUCUGCAGGCCUUUCAGGACUAAAGGGUGAUAAGGGUGAAAUUGGUGUCGGAGUGCCAGGUCUAAGAGGAGAGAGAGGAGACCCAGGUCCUCGGGGAGAAGAAGGUCGGGCUGGACUGGAUGGAGAAAGAGGCUCUACUGGUCCUCCAGGCGGCAAAGGGAACAGAGGAGAUAAGGGCGAUCAAGGUCCUUCAGGAAUUAAAGGAGAAAAGGGAGAUACUCUGCUGGCGGGGGGGCCUCCAGGGGAGAAAGGAAUUAAAGGAGAAACAGGAGAUCGAGGACCUAAAGGUGCACAGGGUGAGAAGGGUGUAAAAGGACAAGAAGGACCGGCAGGUGAAAAGGGCCUGAGGGGGGAGCCAGGAGAGAGAGGUUCCACUGGCUUCCAAGGAGCCCGUGGUCCUGGUGGUCAGAAGGGAGAAGCAGGGCAACCAGGAGUCCCAGGAGAAGCGGGAACACCUGGUAAAGAUGGCCUGCCUGGCAUAAGAGGAGAAAAGGGAGAGAUUGGGCACAUGGGUCUGCGAGGCCUCAAGGGAGAACGAGGUGCCAAGGGGUCAUGUGGACCAAGCGGACAGAAAGGAGACAAGGGUGAUGCUGGGAUUAAUGGUAGACCGGGAUUGCUAGGGAGAAAAGGAGAGCAGGGUGAAGCAGGGCCUACAGGUCCCAUGGGAAGCCCAGGGAAGGAGGGACUCAUUGGAGCCAAGGGUGACAGAGGCUUUGAUGGAGUUAUAGGGCCAAAGGGAGCACAGGGAGAGAAAGGUGAACGGGGCCCACAUGGUAUCCCUGGCCCUCCUGGUCUGAGAGGUGUGGAUGGACCCCCUGGUUUAACUGGUCCUCAAGGACCUGCUGGAGGUAAAGGUCCAGAGGGACUGCAGGGACAAAAGGGAGAACGAGGUCCUUCAGGGCCUGCCAUGGUGGGCCCACGUGGCAUUCCAGGGAUCCCAGGAGAGAGAGGAGAACAGGGCGAGAUAGGCCCUGAUGGACCUAAAGGAGACAGAGGAGAACCAGGCAUGAUGGAGGGUGAGAUUCAGGCUUAUGUUCGAAGUGAGAUGAACCUGCAUUGUGUCUCUACCAGAUGGGUUCAAAAGUCGCCAGAUAUCUGCAAGACCGAGAUUUUUACACAUCCUGUGAAGCGUCAAUGUUGCUCUUGGGGGCUUGCACACUUUUGCUUCACUAUGAUCAAGAACGGAGUCCAUCAAAUGAUUAAAGUCCCCUCCAAUAUUAUAUCAUGAGGUGUACCAGCGGCUUGCAACAUCCCUUCAAGAUCUGUAAAAAAGCCCUUAUCAUCAGCGUUAGGUACGUAAAUAUUAGACAAAAUCAACCUUUGCCCCUGAAUUUCUGCUAAAACAAUAAUGACUCUUCCUAAUUUAUCAUUAAUCUGUUUAAGACAUUUGAAUUGUAGAUGUUUAUUUAUCAGUAUAGUGACUCCCCCACUCUUACUUGAGCCAGCACUAAAAAAACAUGUCCACCCCAUAUCUUCCCAAAUUUUUCAGCUUCCUGUGGGGAAAGAUGUGUUUCUUGAAGAAACACUAUAUUAACUUGACCUUUAACCUCCUAGUAGUCCUCCUCUCGUAGCGCCCACUUUUCACAAUCUAAUCAAUUUCCAAUUGAUAAAAUCAAGUCCUGUCCUGCAUUGUUUUUCUUGUUGAAUCUUGUUUCAUUCUGAAAUAUGUCACAUUAUGAAAGUAAAAUGGGUUGUAAAUGUCUUUACAUGUUACUUUCUCUCUGUGGAAAACCACAAAAUUGUUACAUUUCUCAUUUAAUCAGUUCUCUCUAUCUCUCUCCCCCUAAGCUUGUGGAGGUAAGUUGUGACUUUGCUUUUGCCUUAACAUAGGCAGUAAACAUUUUCCUACUAUUGCAUCAGCCUUAAACUCAUGUGCACUCAGUAAACUAACUGUAGUUUUGAGUGUGACUGUCUUGUGUGGUCUCAGUCUAUUAAACCUUUGUUUAAUUUAAAUAUGUUUGUGAGAAUGCCUGAUUUUUGUCCAUCUGGCUGAACUUCUGGGUUUUGUGCAUCUUAAUUUUCUUGCGCUUGACCUUUGAGUACAGCUUUACACACAUGGUUGCCUGUGAGAGUGCGUUUCUCAUUGAGGGUGUGUGUGUGUUUUUACUGAUGGGUUUUGUUAUCUUGCGUUUGUGUGAUUCGUUGUGGGCGUGUUCUCAGGUGUUAAAGAAGUUCAGAUCUCUGCACCAGUGCAGUCUUACCGAAGUCGCUCCUCCACGUCCCCUGAGCGCUCUCUAACCCGUGGGGACGAGGAGGGUCAGAAGCUGCAUGUAGUAAUGAACACUAAUGAUCCAGACUAUGAGCACAUUUACUCUAUAGAGACCUAUGAUGAUGAUGCUCCAAUGGUGGAGACUGCUGACUACGACACCACUGUCAAUAAAAGUCAGGGCGAAAUGGUCUCUGUUGAUUCAUUAAAAGCUGAAAGGACAAAAAGAGAGGUGAAAGGUGAAGACCCAUGCAUCUUGCCGAUGAAUGAGGGUGAUUGCUCCCGCUAUUCUCUGCGCUGGUACUUUAACUCUCAGGUGGGCGUCUGUAGACCUUUUAUCUACAGCGGCUGUGGAGGAAAUGCUAACCGCUAUUUACAAAAAGAAGAGUGCGAGCAACAAUGUCUACAACAGUGAGAAGAUUUGUGUUGUUGCCUCUGUGGGCUUGAAGACAAGAGUGGACUGUAAACAGAGGAUCUCAAACUCAUCUUUAAUAUAGAAAACAUAAAGCUCAGUGUUGGGCACUGCCAUCAUGCACAAAAGAUGUUUCAGAGAUGAUUAGAGAAGGUAAAGAUUUAUAUCAGCACCUUAUCCUCAACUGCCAAGCAAAUUCUAAAUAUUGAGAUUUUUCUUAUUUAUUUUAUUUUGUUAUCUGUUAAUAUAUAUUUCCGUCAAUAUACACACACUAUAAAAGUUGCACCCAACUUGCAAAUACCAUUUGGGUGCUGACACUGUAUUUUACUAUUAUAAAACACUUGUGGCUCUCCAUUCAAUCACAGCAUAUCACAUUAUCAUUCACAUUAAAUUAAUUUGCGUAUUAACAUAAAAUGAACACAAAGACAUUUUCUCAGCUGCUAAGAACAUUGGUCUCUCAUAUUGUAAUUCUUCAGUUCUUCAGUUUAUCUUAGACUUGUUCUUAGAAGUCUACGCUGUACAAAAUUGUACUGUAAAUGUAGAUCUGUGUUUUAAUCAGCUUGAAAUUCAGGAUGAAUUUUCUUGUAUUAUUAGAUGGUGCAUGUUUAACAAAUGGUGCUAUUUUUAAAGAUAUUUUUAUAUUGUUGGUUGAUUGUAAUAUUUUCAUGUAUGUCAUGGAUUAUAUUCAGUAUUUGUGCUCCAUUAUAGUAUGUACAUUACAGUCCCCACUGUCCUGUUCAUUUAAAGUGAUCUAAACGGAUUGCAUUAUUCUUUGCACAAGACACCCCAUGUCUGUUUUAAAAGUCAUCAUUUUCCAAAAGCCCAGAGGUAUAUUCACAGUAAACCCUUUUUUAGGCUGGUUCUACACAUACUGUAAAGUGAAAUUUGUUUUAUUUUUGUGUUGAACAUUUGCUGGGAAUUAAGACUGACAUCUAAAUUGGAAAAAUAAACAUGAAACAAAAGAAGUCUCGUUUGGAUUUAGCUAAAUAUUUGAAUUAAUGUAAUUUUUUUGUUGUAGCUCUCAAUUAAACAAUGAGUUAUUUAUAGUCUACAUUCAGAGUUGGUAAGGUCCAUAAACAUUUAUUCACACUGUAUGAUUGUAUGAGAAUGCAAGAACAAAUACAGUAGAUCUACAUUUCACUUGUCUUUAUCUUAUAUAUCAACCAGAUUCUCAUUAAAAGUUCAGUGACCACCUGUAGUUCAUGAAGACCAGAACUACAUGGUCUUUUCAUUGUC
RNA transcript from Myxocyprinus asiaticus (Chinese sucker), 11872 nucleotides. It is a transcript of the gene named collagen alpha-1(VII) chain-like, with no coding region annotated. Lineage: Eukaryota; Metazoa; Chordata; Actinopteri; Cypriniformes; Catostomidae. The transcript has 118 exons. The record is from RefSeq and is a predicted model, not a curated record.